This 459-nucleotide ribosomal RNA is filed under the name uncultured bacterium. RNAcentral describes it as "partial 16S ribosomal RNA". It matches the Rfam family "Bacterial small subunit ribosomal RNA", at positions 338 to 795 of the family's 1533-position model. The record is from RNAcentral.
CCUACGGGAGGCAGCAGUGAGGAAUAUUGGUCAAUGGACGCAAGUCUGAACCAGCCAUGCCGCGUGCAGGAAGACGGCUCUAUGAGUUGUAAACUGCUUUUGUACGAGGGUAAACGCAGAUACGCGUAUCUGUCUGAAAGUAUCGUACGAAUAAGGAUCGGCUAACUCCGUGCCAGCAGCCGCGGUAAUACGGAGGAUUCAAGCGUUAUCCGGAUUCAUUGGGUUUAAAGGGUGCGCAGGCGGGCCUUUAAGCCGGCGGUGAAAUCGCGGGGCUCAACCCCGCCGAGCCGUCGGAACUGGGGGCCUUGAGUGCGGCGGAGGCAUGCGGAAUGCGCGGUGUAGCGGUGAAAUGCAUAGAUAUCGCGCAGAACCCCGAUUGCGAAGGCAGCGUGCCGUGCCGCCACUGACGCUGAGGCACAAAAGCGCGGGGAUCGAACAGGAUUAGAUACCCCAGUAGUC